UGGGGAAUCUUCCGCAAUGGACGAAAGUCUGACGGAGCAACGCCGCGUGAGUGAAGACGGCCUUCGGGUUGUAAAGCUCUGUGAUCCGGGACGAAAGAGCCUGAGGUGAAUAGCCUAAGGAAGUGACGGUACCGGAAAAGCAAGCCACGGCUAACUACGUGCCAGCAGCCGCGGUAAUACGUAGGUGGCAAGCGUUGUCCGGAAUUAGUGGGCGUAAAGCGCGCGCAGGCGGCUUCCUAAGUCCAUCUUAAAAGUGCGGGGCUUAACCCCGUGAUGGGAUGGAAACUGGGAAGCUGACGUAUCGGAGAGGAAAGUGGAAUUCCUAGUGUAGCGGUGAAAUGCGUAGAGAUUAGGAAGAACACCGGUGGCGAAGGCGACUUUCUGGACGAAACCUGACGCUGAGGCGCGAAAGCGUGGGGAGCAAACAGG
RNAcentral lists this ribosomal RNA (429 nucleotides) under Fusobacteriota bacterium. RNAcentral describes it as "Fusobacteria bacterium partial 16S ribosomal RNA". It matches the Rfam family "Bacterial small subunit ribosomal RNA", at positions 355 to 776 of the family's 1533-position model. The record is from RNAcentral. Lineage: Bacteria; Fusobacteriati; Fusobacteriota.